AGUAAAGUCAGCUAAUCAAGCUCUUGGGCCCAUACCCCAAACAUGUUGGUUAAAGUCCUUCCUGUACUA
RNAcentral lists this transfer RNA (69 nucleotides) under Enneanectes altivelis (lofty triplefin). RNAcentral's name for it is "tRNA-Met". It matches the Rfam family "tRNA". Rfam says of the family: Transfer RNA (tRNA) molecules are approximately 80 nucleotides in length. Lineage: Eukaryota; Metazoa; Chordata; Actinopteri; Blenniiformes; Tripterygiidae. The record is from RNAcentral.